AAACCAUGCAUCAGACAUUUUCUAAUUAAUUCCUUGAAUCGCUCCCAAGUUUCAUACAAUGCCUCAUCUUGAGAUUGCUGAAAAGAGGUAAUAUCAUUCCUUAAUUU
Molecule: non-coding RNA, 107 nt
Organism: Gossypium arboreum
Lineage: Eukaryota; Viridiplantae; Streptophyta; Magnoliopsida; Malvales; Malvaceae
Source: Rfam